CGGCGAACGGGUGAGUAACACGUGAGUAACCUGCCCCAGGCUUUGGGAUAACCCUCGGAAACGGGGGCUAAUACCGGAUAUUCAUGCUUCGCGGCAUCGUGGGGUGUGGAAAGUUUUUCGGCUUGGGAUGGGCUCGCGGCCUAUCAGCUUGUUGGUGGGGUGAUGGCCUACCAAGGCGACGACGGGUAACCGGCCUGAGAGGGCGACCGGCCACACUGGGACUGAGAUACGGCCCAG
Molecule: ribosomal RNA, 237 nt
Filed under: uncultured bacterium
Lineage: Bacteria
Description: partial 16S ribosomal RNA
Rfam family: Bacterial small subunit ribosomal RNA
Source: RNAcentral